Molecule: ribosomal RNA, 448 nt
Filed under: uncultured bacterium
Lineage: Bacteria
Description: bacterial SSU rRNA
Rfam family: Bacterial small subunit ribosomal RNA
Source: RNAcentral
GGCCAGACUCCUACGGGAGGCAGCAGUGGGGAAUAUUGCACAAUGGGGGAAACCCUGAUGCAGCAACGCCGCGUGAGUGAGGAAGUAUUUCGGUAUGUAAAGCUCUAUCAGCAGGGAAGAAAAUGACGGUACCUGACUAAGAAGCCCCGGCUAACUACGUGCCAGCAGCCGCGGUAAUACGUAGGGGGCAAGCGUUAUCCGGAUUUACUGGGUGUAAAGGGAGCGUAGACGGCAUGGCAAGCCAGAUGUGAAAUACCGGGGCUCAACCGCGGAACCGCAUUUGAAACUGUGCUUCUUGAGUGCUGGAGAGGCAGACGGAAUUCCUAGUGUAGCGGUGAAAUGCGUAGAUAUUAGGAGGAACACCAGUGGCGAAGGCGGUCUGCUGGACAGUAACUGACGGUGAGGCGCGAAAGCGUGGGGAGCAAACAGGAUUAGAUACCCCUGUAAG